Molecule: ribosomal RNA, 253 nt
Filed under: uncultured bacterium
Lineage: Bacteria
Description: partial 16S ribosomal RNA
Rfam family: Bacterial small subunit ribosomal RNA
Source: RNAcentral
UACGGAGGGUGCAAGCGUUAUCCGGAUUUACUGGGUUUAAAGGGUGUGUAGGCGGGGCUUUAAGUCAGUGGUGAAAUCUCCGAGCUUAACUUGGAAACUGCCAUUGAUACUAUUGAUCUUGAAUUCUGUUGAGGUGGGCGGAAUAAGUCAUGUAGCGGUGAAAUGCAUAGAUAUGACUUAGAACACCAAUUGCGAAGGCAGCUCACUAAGCAGAUAUUGACGCUGAGGCACGAAAGCGUGGGGAUCAAACAGG